Molecule: ribosomal RNA, 1301 nt
Filed under: Rhabdoblatta orlovi
Lineage: Eukaryota; Metazoa; Arthropoda; Insecta; Blattodea; Blaberidae
Description: 16S ribosomal RNA
Rfam family: Archaeal large subunit ribosomal RNA (bases 871-1227)
Source: RNAcentral
UAAGAUGUAUUAACUUUAGUUUUGUUUAUAUAUGGUAAUUUAUAAAAAUCAUUUAAUUGUUGUUGUAUUUGUUAUGGAUUUAAUUAACUGUAGUUAUAAUUGGUUAGUACUGUGAAGGAAGAGUAAAAGAAUAAUUGGUUUAUUAUUUUAUAAGUUGAAUUAUAUUUUUGUACCUUGUGUAUCAGGAUUAAUUAAUAAUUAUUUAUUUAUAUUAAUUUUCUCGAUUUCUUUAGAGUUAAUAAAUUAUAUUAGUUAUUGUGGAAUAAAUAUUAAUAAUAAUUUAUUGGGAAUGAGAUGUUAUUCGUUAAUGAGGAUAUCUAGUUUUUUGGGAAAUAAAUUUAAUUUAGGUUCUUUCUUUAAUUAUUUUCUUUAAAAUUAAUUUUGAGUCGGAAUUAAUAAUGGAGGGGAUAAGCUCUUUAUUAUAAAUUUAUAAGAAUAUAUUUAUAUUUAAUUAUAUGGAUUUAAUAGUUAUUAUUAUUUUAAGUAUGUUAAAGUAUUAUUUUUUUUAUAUAAUGAUUUUUUUUUUCUUUAAGGAUUUACUAAGAUUUUUUGUUUAAUUUUUUAUUAAUUGAAAUUAUGAUUAAAUAAGUAUAAAUAAUUUUAUAAUAUUUUUUGAUGUUAAGUUAUUUUGGGGAACUCGGCAAAUUUUAUUAUUCGCCUGUUUAACAAAAACAUCUCUUCUUGUUUAUUUAAGAGGUAUGGCCUGCCCAAUGAUAAAUUUAAUGGCCGCAGUAUAUUGACUGUGCAAAGGUAGCAUAAUCAUUAGUCUUUUAAUUGAAGGCUGGAAUGAAUGGCUGGACGAGAUAAUAACUAUCUUAAUUUAAUUUUUUUUUGAAAUUAAUCUUUAAGUUAAAAAGCUUAAAUGAUUUUUUGGGACGAGAAGACCCUAUAGAGUUUUAUAUUUAUAAAGGUUUAUUGGAUUUGUAAAUGGAUAAAUUUUUGUAUAUAUUUUGUUGGGGUGAUGGAAAGAUAAUAGUAACUCUUUUUAAUAUUUGUUUAUAAAUUUAUAUUAAAAUGAUCCAUGACUGGUGAUUGAAAGACUAAAUUACCUUAGGGAUAACAGCGUAAUUUUUUUUAAGAGUUCAUAUCGACAAUAAGGAUUGCGACCUCGAUGUUGGAUUAAGAUUAUCUUUAGGUGUAGAAGCUUAAAAAUUAGGUCUGUUCGACCUUUAAAAUCUUACAUGAUCUGAGUUCAAACCGGCGUAAGCCAGGUUGGUUUCUAUCUAAUAAUAUUUAUAAUAUUUUAGUACGAAAGGACCAAAUAUUUGGAAUAAUUUUUAAUUAUUGAUUAUUAUUAAUAU